RNAcentral lists this ribosomal RNA (453 nucleotides) under uncultured bacterium. RNAcentral describes it as "partial 16S ribosomal RNA". It matches the Rfam family "Bacterial small subunit ribosomal RNA", at positions 28 to 506 of the family's 1533-position model. The record is from RNAcentral.
GAUGAACGCUGACAGAAUGCUUAACACAUGCAAGUCAACUUGAACUUCGGUUUGGGUGGCGGACGGGUGAGUAACGCGUAAAGAACUUGCCUCACAGCUAGGGACAACAUUUGGAAACGAAUGCUAAUACCUGAUAUUAUGAUUAUAUGGCAUCGUAUAAUUAUGAAAGCUAUAUGCGCUGUGAGAGAGCUUUGCGUCCCAUUAGCUAGUUGGAGAGGUAACAGCUCACCAAGGCGAUGAUGGGUAGCCGGCCUGAGAGGGUGAUCGGCCACAAGGGGACUGAGACACGGCCCUUACUCCUACGGGAGGCAGCAGUGGGGAAUAUUGGACAAUGGACCGAGAGUCUGAUCCAGCAAUUCUGUGUGCACGAUGAAGUUUUUCGGAAUGUAAAGUGCUUUCAGUUGGGAAGAAAAAAAUGACGGUACCAACAGAAGAAGUGACGGCUAAAUACGU